AAUGCCCUACUGUGUACGUGUAAAGUCGCUAAAGUUUUGAGCUAACACUGAUCAUACGGGAGCCUGACUUUAUGUGUGGUAUAGAAGCCCCAAGUUUAAGGGGACCUAUAAAGCACAUAAGAGGGCACCCACCUGCUGGGAGAGCAGUUCAAAACAGCGGCUCCUACGUCAUGGUGGGGUUAUU
This 184-nucleotide non-coding RNA is filed under the name Bacillota bacterium. RNAcentral's name for it is "Firmicutes bacterium (anaerobic digester metagenome) 6S RNA". It matches the Rfam family "6S / SsrS RNA". From Rfam's summary of the family: E. coli 6S RNA was the first non coding RNA to be sequenced, but its function was unknown until recently. It consists of 184 nucleotides that fold into an extended hairpin structure with a large single-stranded internal bulge. Lineage: Bacteria; Bacillati; Bacillota. The record is from RNAcentral.